AACGAACGCUGGCGGCAUGCCUAAUACAUGCAAGUCGAACGAUCACUUCGGUGGUAGUGGCGCACGGGUGCGUAACGCGUGGGAAUCUGCCCUUGGGUUCGGAAUAACGUCGGGAAACUGACGCUAAUACCGGAUGAUGACGUAAGUCCAAAGAUUUAUCGCCCAGGGAUGAGCCCGCGUAGGAUUAGCUAGUUGGUGGGGUAAAGGCCUACCAAGGCGACGAUCCUUAGCUGGUCUGAGAGGAUGAUCAGCCACACUGGGACUGAGACACGGCCCAGACUCCUACGGGAGGCAGCAGUAGGGAAUAUUGGACAAUGGGCGCAAGCCUGAUCCAGCAAUGCCGCGUGAGUGAUGAAGGCCUUAGGGUUGUAAAGCUCUUUUACCAGAGAUGAUAAUGACAGUAUCUGGGGAAUAAGCCCCGGCUAACUCCGU
RNAcentral lists this ribosomal RNA (432 nucleotides) under uncultured Alphaproteobacteria bacterium. RNAcentral's name for it is "bacterial SSU rRNA". It matches the Rfam family "Bacterial small subunit ribosomal RNA", at positions 29 to 506 of the family's 1533-position model. Lineage: Bacteria; Pseudomonadati; Pseudomonadota; Alphaproteobacteria. The record is from RNAcentral.